GAUGAACGCUGGCGGCGUGCUUAACACAUGCAAGUCGAACGAAGCACUUUAUUUGAUUUCCUUCGGGACUGAUUAUUUUGUGACUGAGUGGCGGACGGGUGAGUAACGCGUGGGUAACCUGCCUUGUACAGGGGGAUAACAGUUGGAAACGGCUGCUAAUACCGCAUAAGCGCACAGCAUCGCAUGAUGCAGUGUGAAAAACUCCGGUGGUAUAAGAUGGACCCGCGUUGGAUUAGCUAGUUGGUGAGGUAACGGCCCACCAAGGCGACGAUCCAUAGCCGAACUGAAUAGGGUGGCCGGCCACAGGGGGACGGGGACCCGACCCAACCUCCACCGGGGGGAGGAAGGGGGGAAUAUUGAAAAAUGGGAGAAGCCUGAAUGCAGCGACCCCGGGGGAGAAAAAAGUAUUUCGGGUAUGAAAACCUCUACCAGAGGGAAAGAUAAGACGUUUCCCUAACAAGAAACCCCCGCCAAAGUCGGUC
RNAcentral lists this ribosomal RNA (482 nucleotides) under uncultured bacterium. RNAcentral's name for it is "partial 16S ribosomal RNA". It matches the Rfam family "Bacterial small subunit ribosomal RNA", at positions 28 to 508 of the family's 1533-position model. The record is from RNAcentral.